This 71-nucleotide transfer RNA is filed under the name Loxodonta africana (African savanna elephant). It matches the Rfam family "tRNA". Rfam says of the family: Transfer RNA (tRNA) molecules are approximately 80 nucleotides in length. Their secondary structure includes four short double-helical elements and three loops (D, anti-codon, and T loops). Lineage: Eukaryota; Metazoa; Chordata; Mammalia; Proboscidea; Elephantidae. The record is from Rfam by way of RNAcentral.
GUGUUGGUGGUUCAGUGGUAGAAUCCCCAGCUUUCAUGCAGGAGAGCCGGGUUUGAUUCCCAGCCGAUGCA